CACACACACACAUAUAUAUAUGGUGCCUUCUCUAUGGAAUUGGUAUUAUUGAGAAGAGAGCAACAGCUAGAAUGAGACUAACAGCUGCUCUUGUGUUCCUUGUGGCUUUUGCCCUGAUUGUCGGAGUUCAGUCUGGUCCUCUUCCAGAUGAUGGACACACCCAUCAUGAACACCAUCAACACGAAGGAAAUUGUAACCAUGGAAACCAUCAGCAUCACCAUGAUCACGAUCAUGAGUCACACCAUCAAGGAGAAGCUCAACCAUCGAAUUGACCAGAUCAGCCAAUAAUGUUGGAAAGAUGACCAGAUCAGCCAAUAAUGUUAUAUUUAAUGGCAACACAUUAAAUAAGAUUGUUAAAGAGACA
Molecule: long non-coding RNA, 364 nt
Organism: Octopus sinensis (East Asian common octopus)
Lineage: Eukaryota; Metazoa; Mollusca; Cephalopoda; Octopoda; Octopodidae
Exons: 6
Source: RefSeq, a predicted model, not a curated record